CGUAGCAGCCAUAUCACCCUGCAACUCACAACUGGCAACCCACUGAAGCUAAGCAGGUGUGAGCCUGGUCAGUACCUGGAUGGGAGACCUCCUGGGAAAAACUAAGGUUGCUGCUGGAA
Ribosomal RNA from Lepisosteus oculatus (spotted gar), 119 nucleotides. The record is from Ensembl. NCBI's taxonomy places the organism in Eukaryota, Metazoa, Chordata, Actinopteri, Semionotiformes, Lepisosteidae.